CAGUGCACCACACCGUCCACACUCCACACAACCAAACCUUAUCCCCCUCUUUUUUUUUCUUCUGCGUUCUGUCUCUGAGAACUGUGCGUGCGCUAGAUAGACCAUUAGACACAAAGAUUGAGUGAGAAAAAAUAGAGAGAUGAAGCUGAAAAAAGGGUUUCAAUUUCUGUGAAUAGACCAAGUGCGAGCCCAUAAUUAUUCUGAUUGAAUUGAUUCUGCACAAGAAGAAAGCUCAUACGGUCAUACCCAUUUGCUCUAUAAUGUGAUUGAUUCACAAGCUCCCGCCCUUCAGGGUUUAUUGUGGAGGUCAGCUUUGGGGUUUCUUCUAUUGAAUGCUUGUUUCUUCUAUUGCUUUGAUUUCGAUUGAGAACGAAUAUCUUGGAAAAAUCAAUUGUGAUAAGCUAAUUGAUCAGUUUGCAGGUAAGAAGGCAAGGAGAUGGAUUUUCAAAUGAAUAUCAAUCAACACUGCUAGAAUGUGUUAUUUUGAGGGUUUUAGAUCAAGCAUCUUUUUGUAAUCAUUUUUUGCUGCAAACUUUAUGUUUGUAUUGAAUAUUUAGCCUUGAUUUUACA
Molecule: long non-coding RNA, 570 nt
Organism: Rosa chinensis
Lineage: Eukaryota; Viridiplantae; Streptophyta; Magnoliopsida; Rosales; Rosaceae
Exons: 3
Source: RefSeq, a predicted model, not a curated record